CUCGUAGGCGGCUCAGCAAGUCGGCCGUGAAAGCCCAGAGCUCAACUCUGGGAUGCCGGUCGAUACUGCUGUGGCUAGGGUCCGGUAGAGGAGAGUGGAAUUCCUGGUGUAGCGGUGAAAUGCGCAGAUAUCGGGAGGAACACCAGUAGCGAAGGCGGCUCUCUGGGCCGGUACCGACGCUGAGGAGCGAAAGCUAGGGGAGCAAACA
RNAcentral lists this ribosomal RNA (208 nucleotides) under uncultured bacterium. Its description in RNAcentral is "partial 16S ribosomal RNA". It matches the Rfam family "Bacterial small subunit ribosomal RNA", at positions 568 to 774 of the family's 1533-position model. The record is from RNAcentral.